This 469-nucleotide ribosomal RNA is filed under the name uncultured Geobacillus sp. Its description in RNAcentral is "bacterial SSU rRNA". It matches the Rfam family "Bacterial small subunit ribosomal RNA", at positions 910 to 1382 of the family's 1533-position model. The record is from RNAcentral. Lineage: Bacteria; Bacillati; Bacillota; Bacilli; Caryophanales; Anoxybacillaceae.
UUGACGGGGCCGCACAAGCGGUGGAGCAUGUGGUUAAUUCGAAGCAACGCGAAGAACCUUACCAGGUCUUGACAUCCCCUGACAACCGAGAGAUCGGGCGUUCCCCUUCGGGGGACAGGGUGACAGGUGGUGCAUGGUUGUCGUCAGCUCGUGUCGUGAGAUGUUGGGUUAAGUCCCGCAACGAGCGCAACCCUCGCCUCUAGUUGCCAGCAUUCGGUUGGGCACUCUAGAGGGACUGCCGGCGACAAGUCGGAGGAAGGUGGGGAUGACGUCAAAUCAUCAUGCCCCUUAUGACCUGGGCUACACACGUGCUACAAUGGGCGGUACAAAGGGCUGCGAACCCGCGAGGGGGAGCGAAUCCCAAAAAGCCGCUCUCAGUUCGGAUUGCAGGCUGCAACUCGCCUGCAUGAAGCCGGAAUCGCUAGUAAUCGCGGAUCAGCAUGCCGCGGUGAAUACGUUCCCGGGCCUU